AUACGAAGGGGGCUAGCGUUGUUCGGAAUUACUGGGCGUAAAGCGCGCGUAGGCGGAUUUGUUAGUCAGAGGUGAAAUCCCAGGGCUCAACCCCGGAACUGCCUUUGAUACUGCAAGUCUUGAGACCGAGAGAGGUGAGUGGAAUUCCUAGUGUAGAGGUGAAAUUCGUAGAUAUUAGGAAGAACACCAGUGGCGAAGGCGGCUCACUGGCUCGAUACUGACGCUGAGGUGCGAAAGCGUGGGGAGCAAACAGGAUUAGAAACCCGAGUAGUCC
RNAcentral lists this ribosomal RNA (274 nucleotides) under uncultured bacterium. Its description in RNAcentral is "partial 16S ribosomal RNA". It matches the Rfam family "Bacterial small subunit ribosomal RNA", at positions 523 to 796 of the family's 1533-position model. The record is from RNAcentral.